This 442-nucleotide ribosomal RNA is filed under the name uncultured bacterium. RNAcentral describes it as "partial 16S ribosomal RNA". It matches the Rfam family "Bacterial small subunit ribosomal RNA", at positions 338 to 795 of the family's 1533-position model. The record is from RNAcentral.
CCUACGGGAGGCAGCAGUGGGGAAUAUUGGGCAAUGGGCGCAAGCCUGACCCAGCAACGCCGCGUGAAGGAAGAAGGCUUUCGGGUUGUAAACUUCUUUUAAGGGGGAAGAGCAGAAGACGGUACCCCUUGAAUAAGCCACGGCUAACUACGUGCCAUCAGCCGCGGUAAUACGUAGGUGGCAAGCGUUGUCCGGAUUUACUGGGUGUAAAGGGCGUGCAGCCGGAGAGACAAGUCAGAUGUGAAAUCCACGGGCUCAACCCGUGAACUGCAUUUGAAACUGUUUCCCUUGAGUGUCGGAGAGGUAAUCGGAAUUCCUUGUGUAGCGGUGAAAUGCGUAGAUAUAAGGAAGAACACCAGUGGCGAAGGCGGAUUACUGGACGAUAACUGACGGUGAGGCGCGAAAGCGUGGGGAGCAAACAGGAUUAGAUACCCCUGUAGUC